Molecule: ribosomal RNA, 253 nt
Filed under: uncultured bacterium
Lineage: Bacteria
Description: partial 16S ribosomal RNA
Rfam family: Bacterial small subunit ribosomal RNA
Source: RNAcentral
GACGAACCGUGCGAACGUUGUUCGGAAUCACUGGGCUUAAAGGGCGCGUAGGCGGUCUGCCAAGUCCGGGGUGAAAUCCUCCAGCUUAACUGGAGAAGUGCCCUGGAUACUGGCGGACUCGAGUGAGGCAGGGGUUGUGGGAACUUCCGGUGGAGCGGUGAAAUGCGUUGAUAUCGGAAGGAACGCCGGUGGCGAAAGCGCACAACUGGUCCUCUUCUGACGCUGAGGCGCGAAAGCCAGGGGAGCAAACGGG